UUUUUAUUUUUUUUUCUUUGUACAGUCGUACCUGCAGCACAUGGAAGUUCCUGGGCUAGCAGUUAAAUCAGAGCUACAGCUGAGAUCUAUGCCACACCCACAACCUACAAAAUUUGUGGCAAUGCCAGAUCCUUAACCCACUGAGUGAGGCCAGGGAUUGAACCCUCAUCCUCAUGGAUACUAUGUCGGGUUCAUAACCAGCUGAGCCGCAAGGGGAACUUCCACAGGAGUCUUUUUUUUUUUCUUUCCUUUUUUUUUUUUUUGGCCGCUCCCACAGCAUAUGCAAGUUCCCAGGCCAAGGAUCAAACCCAUGCCAAGGCAACAAUCCCAGCCACAGCAGUGAUAACACCAGAUCCUUAACCAAAAGAGAACUCCAUCCCACAGGAGUUUUUUGAAUAGGCUGUAUUGACAGCUACAGCUUUAAAAGACAAGAGGUAGGCUGAUACGCAGCCAGAGUCAAUGGUUCAACCUCUGUAGGUUUCUGGAGAUUUUUUCAGGAUAGCUCCCUCCUCUCAAUUACUCUGUUUCACAAAUUCUAGCUGCCUUGAUCUCCUGGAAUGCUGAUCUAUGUCUUCACCUCAAGGAGACUGCCAGACUCUGAGUUCCCACUCCCUCUGUAGUUGGCUGAAAUUGCCUCCAGGCAGAAAAUCAUAAAACUCCAUUUGUGUCUCUUAUCAGGGAUCACAAUCCUGUGCUGGGUGUUGUCUGAUAUCUGAAAAUAGCUGUUUUCUAUAUUUUGUCCAGUUUCCUAUUUAUUGGUGGUAGGAAGGCAAUUCCAAAUCAUCCUGCUCUCUUAUACGUGGAGAAGUCUCUCCAAUGACAUUUUGCACCUCACUAUAAUAAUGAGUAAAUUAGUCUUUUAAAAGUCUCAUGGAGGAGUUCCUGCUGUGGUGCACUGGGUUAAUGAUCCAACUUGUCUCUGUGGAGGCACCAGGUCAAUCCCCAGUCCGGUGCAGUAGGUUAAGGAUCUGAUCUAGCAUUGCUGCAGCUGUGGCAUAGGUUGCAGCUCUGGCUUGGAUUCGAUCCUUGGCCCAGGAACUUCCAUAUGCCACUACUGCAGCCAAAAAAGGAGAAAAUAAGUCUUAGAGGGAGUUUACUUGUGGCUCAGUGGGUUAAGUCACUGUUGGUUACAGCUGUGACAUGGGUUCAAUCCUGGCCCAGGAACUUUUGCAUGCCUCGGGCAAGGCCAAAAAAAAAAAAGAAAGAAAGAAAAGAAAGGAUACAUUUUACCAGUUUAAAAAAAUAAAAGUCUUAUAAAAUUGUUUUAAAAAAAAAUAAAUGACAGGAGUUCCCUGGUGGCACAGCAGAUUAAGGAUCAGGCACACUGCUGUAGCACGGGUUCCAUCUUUGGCCUGGGAACUUCCACAUGCCAUGGGCUUGGCCAAAAAUAAAAAUAAAUGACAAAAGAAUAUAAAAGGAAGUAGGUAACAAUAGACAGAAUACAUAAAAUUAAAGAAAUCACUGAUUAAAAAAUAAUUGCCUGGGGCUCAAGGAGAAGAUAGGAAUUCUUCAUAAGUUAAAGGUAAAAUAUUGUUUCUGGUUGGUAUGGCAUAUAUAGUUAUGUGUGUGUAUCUCUCUCUCUCUCUCUCUCUCUCUCUCUCUCUCUCUCUCACACACACACACACACACACACACACACACACACACACACGACAUUCCCUGUAGGUAGAAUGAGAACCUAAAAACCCAGAAGCCUCUCAAUUACUUAGGAAAAAAUUUAAUAAUGGAAUGGUGGGUAAAGUAUAUGAAGAGUUAAGACAACCAAUGACUUCCAAUGAAAAUAUGAAACUUCGACAGCCAUCAAAAGAACAAAAAUAAAAUAAUUACAAUUGAUCACAACAUUGAACAAAACCAACAACCAACUUCUCCUAUGGAUAUUUCCUUAGCCUCAAAGUGCAAAAAAAAAAAAAAAGCAUGUUGGAGUUCCCGUCAUGGCGCAGUGGUUAACGAAUCCGACUAGGAACCAUGAGGUUGCGGGUUCAGUCCCUGCCCUUGCUCAGUGGGUUAACGAUCCGGCGUUGCCGUGGGCUGUGGUGUAGGUUGCAGACGCAGCUCAGAUCCCGCGUUGCUGUGGCUCUGGCGUAGGCUGGUGGCUACAGCUCCGAUUCAACCCCUAGCCUGGGAACCUCCAUAUGCCGCGGGAGCGGCCCAAGAAAUAGCAACAACAACAACAAAAAAGACAAAAAAGACAAAAAAAAAAAAAAAAAGCAUGUUAAGAGAAUUCCAGUUGGUUCUCCCCAGGAUAUGCCCCCCAAACUAACUAUAGUGAAUCUUAAUUUAGGGAAUGAUAUCUCUAUAGCUGAUAAAUAUAGAUGGAAACUAACGUUCGAAAAUAUACAAGCGCAGAGAUAAAUUUUACAUAAAUUGUAAUUUUUGUUCAGAUAACAUAUAUAACAAUUUGUAGUAUUUGUAAAGUUAGAGAAAACAUCUAGUUUUAGUAGCAUCUAAAUAUAAGACCUAUUGGGCUGUGGGAUGGAAAUACUGUGAAAUCAGAUUGUUAUGAUCAUUAUACAACUACAGAUGUGAUAAAUUCAUUUGAGUAAUAAAAAAAUGAAAAAAUAAAUAAAUAAAUAAAUAAAAGACCCAUACUAAAACAGUAGUUCAAGAAUAAGCAAUUCUAAAUGACCAAUAUUUCAACUAUUUAAUAAAAAUGAAUUACUGUGUAACUACACAUAAGUAAUGUGUCAGAGGCAGUAACUGGUGUCCUGGAUAUAAGAACCAAGCACCCGGAUUUCAAACACCUUGUCUUCAGUUUAAUUCCUAUAAAAAUGGUCAACAGAUUAAAUAAUCUAAUAAAUAUUAAAUUGCUGUAAACUUAUAAACAUAAUUCUGACAAAUCUGAAACACUCAUUUAAAUCACAAAAGCUUGGAGUUCCCGUUGUGGCACAGUUCCCACUAGGAACCAUGAGGUUGUAGGUUCGAUCCCUGGCCUCGCUCAGUGGGUUGAGGAUCUGGCAUUGUCGUGAACUGUGGUGUAAGUCGCAGACACAGCUCGGAGUUGCUGUGGCUGUGGUGUAGGCUUGAAGCUACAGCUCUGAUUAGACCCCUAGCCUGGGAACCUCCAUAUGCCUCAGGUGUGGCCCCAAAGGACAAAAAAAUAAAUAAAUAAAAAAUUAAGAGUUUUACUUUAUUCCACACUUGCCUUCUGAAACUAGGUUAAGAUCUUUAUCAUGACCACCCUCUCCUAUGCCGCAUUAUCAUGACUUAAACAGUUCUGCUUUUACCAUAAAACUCUUACAGCGUAGCCAAAAAUCCCCAAAUGAUUAAUGAACUGCUGAGAAUUCUGACUCGUUAGAGAUGAUUUUAUUAGGAAUCAUAUUUCCAAACAUCCAUUCAGUGCUUCAAAAUAAGUACUCAUCUAAUUUAAUUAUGAUGACUUCACCAGACAGUAAUACUGCCCACAAUCAUGUUUACAAAAGCACUUGUCACUCCCUUCAGAUGUAGCAAUGCAGAAAAAGGAGUCUGUUUCCAUAUUCUGUUUAUACUCUGUAACAAGUGACAGAGCUUAAGUGUCACUUAAGAUUAUUUAAACAAAGUACUUCAAGUUGAAUGUGACCCACCAUCUUUCAUCGAAGCGAAUCCUAAAAUCGUUGGGUUUUAUUUCAACAGUAAUUUCCACUCAGUACCUGAGACAGGUAUUCCAAGGCAGCCUUAGCAAGAAAAGAGACUCCAGGAUGAGACUGUAGGAUUCUGUUUUAGCUCUAAGAUAACAGGCUCCAAUUAAAGUAACUUCAGUGGAGGUUACUGCAACAUCAAGGCACGUCGGAAAUAAAUGUGCCCCCAAAGGUACACCCGCACCCGCAGCCAGGAAUCAGCAAUAGCCAACCAAGGAAGAUGCUGCAGCAGAGUUUCUCCUAACAGCCUACCACUGACCAAGCACUUGCUGUUUGGUCAUGCACAUCAUCCUGUCCUAGCUUCACAACAACCCUGUGAAGUACGCAUAAUUAUUCCCAUAUACAAACCCGGAUACUUUAGUCCAAGGCCCCAGGGCUGGUCAGUGGCGGCGCUGGGAUUUGAAAAUACGACU
RNAcentral lists this long non-coding RNA (4027 nucleotides) under Sus scrofa (pig). RNAcentral's name for it is "lncRNA (ENSSSCG00005041098.1)". The record is from RNAcentral. Lineage: Eukaryota; Metazoa; Chordata; Mammalia; Artiodactyla; Suidae.